GGGCCCGCACAAGCAGUGGAGCAUGUGGUUUAAUUCGAUGCAACGCGAAGAACCUUACCAGGCCUUGACAUCCUCGGAACUUUCUAGAGAUAGAUUGGUGCCUUCGGGAACCGAGUGACAGGUGCUGCAUGGCUGUCGUCAGCUCGUGUCGUGAGAUGUUGGGUUAAGUCCCGUAACGAGCGCAACCCUUGUCCUUAGUUGCCAGCACUUCGGGGUGGGAACUCUAAGGAGACUGCCGGUGACAAACCGGAGGAAGGUGGGGGACGACGUCAAGUCAUCAUGGCCCUUACGGCCUGGGCUACACACGUGCUACAAUGGCUAGGACAGACGGCCGCAAACCCCGCGAGGGG
RNAcentral lists this ribosomal RNA (350 nucleotides) under uncultured bacterium. RNAcentral's name for it is "bacterial SSU rRNA". It matches the Rfam family "Bacterial small subunit ribosomal RNA", at positions 917 to 1264 of the family's 1533-position model. The record is from RNAcentral.